ACGCUCGACACCUACGGGAGGCAGCAGUGGGAAUAUUGCACAAUGGGGGAAACCCUGAUGCAGCGACGCCGCGUGGAGGAAGAAGGUCUUCGGAUUGUAAACUCCUGUUGUUGGGGAAAAAGAGGAUGGUACCCAACAAGGAAGUGACGGCUAACUACGUGCCAACAGCCGCGGUAAUCUGAGCGGGCUGGCAAGGC
RNAcentral lists this ribosomal RNA (197 nucleotides) under uncultured bacterium. RNAcentral's name for it is "partial 16S ribosomal RNA". It matches the Rfam family "Bacterial small subunit ribosomal RNA", at positions 328 to 539 of the family's 1533-position model. The record is from RNAcentral.